UUUAAACAAACAUUUUCAACAAUUAUCUUUUAAACAUAACCUAUUUUUAAUCUCUUUCUUUUGUUAAAAAAAACAGCAGCAACCAUUAACCCCCAAUUGAUAGGGUUUCAUUUGGCUUACAGCCGACGAGCCAGUAUUUCGAUUAGUGGCCGACGACGUACGAUUAAGGGCUAGAUCUUUGCCCGCGAAAGUCACAACCAAGCAAAAAAAAUCAAAGAAAACAUUUGACCCUCGCCCGAGUCUCUUCAUUUCCGAGAUGUUUGGGCUUUCAUUGGUGUCGAUUCAUAUACUAAAAAGAAAUUGAGCCAACCAAAAAAUAGAUCGAAAAAGAAAGAAAAAAAAACUUGAGAUCACCUUUAAUAUUUUUGAUUCCUUUUUCCCUGUUCCGUGUCCGUGUAAAAAACAAUACAGGUGAUUCUCUUUAGGCUUUAUAGUCGAGAGAAGAAAAGAAAAAAGAUACAAUUUUUCUGCUAUUUUCUUGCGUCUGUUGUCUUCUUGUGUUUGGUGUACAGGUACGGAGGUACGGGGCUAGCUGUGGGGAUAUGUGGCACUCAACGUGGGGCGUACGGAGGCGUUGGAGGCAGUCGUACGAUGCGAAGGCUAUCGGGCUUGUAAUUUGGGUCUAGGUUUAGUUAUUGGGCUUGUUUGGGUCUUGGGUUAUGUUUUUGGGUUUGGGUUUAAUUUUUGUUUAUUUUGUAUUUUGGUGGACCCGGGCAAAUUGGCCCGUUUACAAAAUUGAAAGGAAAAUUAUGUGUUUAAUAAAAUUAAGUCAACAAAAUAAUUUGGGUUAACAUGUAAAAUUGUCAAUGUACUAUUGCUUAACAUUGAAAUUUAUCAUUAUACUUUGAGAAUAUUAUUAAAUUUAUCACAUUAAUUUUAUGUGGUAGAAUUUUAC
This 895-nucleotide long non-coding RNA is filed under the name Gossypium barbadense (sea-island cotton). Its description in RNAcentral is "long non-coding RNA (GBAR_LNC001141)". The record is from RNAcentral. Lineage: Eukaryota; Viridiplantae; Streptophyta; Magnoliopsida; Malvales; Malvaceae.